AGAGGUCCUGCCUGCCCUGUGACCAUGAGUUUAACGGCCGCGGUAUUUUGACCGUGCAAAGGUAGCGUAAUCACUUGUCUUUUAAAUGAAGACCUGUAUGAAUGGCACGACGAGGGCUUAACUGUCUCCUUUUUCCAGUCAAUGAAAUUGAUCUUCCCGUGCAGAAGCGGGAAUAUACACAUAAGACGAGAAGACCCUAUGGAGCUUUAGACACCAAGGCAGCCCAUGUCAAACACCCCCCUCUAAGGGACUGAACUAAUUGUGACCCUGCCUUAAUGUCUUUGGUUGGGGCGACCACGGGGAAACACAAAACCCCCAUGUGGACCGGGAAGACUUUUUUCCCACAACUAAGAGUUACAGCUCUAAUUAACAGAACUUCUGACCAGAAAUGAUCCGGCAACGCCGAUCAACGGACCGAGUUACCCUAGGGAUAACAGCGCAAUCCCCUCUUAGAGCCCAUAUCGACGAGGGGGUUUACGACCUCGAUGUUGGAUCAGGACAUCCUAAUGGUGCAGCCGCUAUUAAGGGUUCGUUUGUUCAACGAU
RNAcentral lists this ribosomal RNA (545 nucleotides) under Amphistichus argenteus (barred surfperch). Its description in RNAcentral is "partial 16S ribosomal RNA". It matches the Rfam family "Bacterial large subunit ribosomal RNA", at positions 1848 to 2588 of the family's 2925-position model. Lineage: Eukaryota; Metazoa; Chordata; Actinopteri; Embiotocidae. The record is from RNAcentral.